This 2073-nucleotide long non-coding RNA is filed under the name Felis catus (domestic cat). RNAcentral describes it as "lncRNA (ENSFCAG00000053163.1)". Lineage: Eukaryota; Metazoa; Chordata; Mammalia; Carnivora; Felidae. The record is from RNAcentral.
AUGCCCACUGUGUGCAAAGCACAGGGCAAGGGAUUGCGCUGUGAACAAGGCACUACCCUUGUCCCCCACUCCAUGUCCUUGAGGCAGAAAUGGAAGAAAGCCAGCCGUCAGAAGGAUGUGGCGCUCAGCAAGUCUACGGGGACUGGGGCGCGAGAGUCUGGCUCAGAAGCACCCAAGAGCCCUUCACCAGAGUAUUUUGUUAUGGCGAGAGAUGAGAAUGAAGGAAAGAGUCUCCCGAUUCAGACUCUGACCCUGACCCUUCUGGGACACGUUUCUGCGAUGGCCUUUAGUAACCUAGAAAUGCUUUUCCCACGUCUGCCUUCCCCGGAGGAUGGAUUGCUUCAGUUAGGCCCUUGAGGUCUCUCUGGAGUUGCAGAGAGGGCCCCAGAGGAUCUAGUUUUCCGGCUGCCCUGCCGCCACCAGCCAUCGACCCGCAGAGAGGCCUGCUGCUUCACUCUGGAGAGCAGAAGGGGUGCGUAAAAGCAGGGCAGAGAGAAGGCCCUUGGUUCAGAAUCAGAGCUGCCCCUUCAUACCUUUCAGAAGCUCUUGUCUUCAAGGAUGCCUACGACACAGUGGCCCUGCCCUCACGUCCUCCUCUGACGCCGGUCCCAACCCGGCCGUGUCUGCCACGCUGCGGUUUUGAUCUCCUCGACCCAGAAAGCCUCUUCUCUUGGCUCGCUGGACACCAGCCCCGGCGGCUUCGGUCCUGCCCCGCUGGGCUGUCUGAGCAGCGAGGUGGUCUCGUACGUUUGAAUUUUCGGCGGAGCCUCCCGAGGCAGCAAUCACGUCCUAGGCACCCUGUGUUUCCCAGGGCCUACCGUUUGUUCACAGAUCCCACUGCUGCUGUGGUCUAGCCCCGCCUCUCAGACUGUUCUCUUUCCUCCUGCUGCUCUCAUUGGCCGUCCUCCCCCAGAGCUUGGGACGUGCUGGCAACCCCCUCCAAUGUGUCCAUGUCACCAGCCCUCCCCCGCUUCUGCUGGCGGGGUAGUCGGGGGAGGUGCCUAGGGCCUGGGCUGGAUAGUAACUUCUUCAGGGCCACCCCUGACACUUCCCCAGUGUAGAAGUUCAACUCAUUUACUCACCCCCCACCCCUUUUCCUGACUUGAUUUCCACUGACCCGUCAUUAAAGAACUCAUUUCUUAUUGAAGUUGGACCUAUUUAUUCACUCACUACACAUUUGCCUGCAGAUUUGGCGUGGAGCCAUAGGGAGUAAAUAUAAGUUGGCUUGCAUUGAAAUGAAAUACCCACGUAUGUGCCCAUGUGGAGUGCCGACCACGGUGCCGGGUGCAUGGCGGGCGCUUGGUAAGUGUAGGUGCCACCGAAUGGGCAACGGUUUGAUGCGAAGCACUAUUCAGUUUCAAGGACCCAACGACACCCCCCAAAACACCACCUCUAGGCUCAAGGGCACCCAGAGAGCUCUGUUAAAUGAAGUAAAGCCUUUUGCUUGGCUCUUGAAGACCUUUGAAAAUUGCCACGAGCCAGUCUGUCCCCCUAGCUGGUCCCACUAGCCACCCAAUCCUGCAGCGCAUGUCUGGGGUCCUCCCCCCCGGGACACGAAAAGGUGAACCAUCUAGGAAGGUUUGGAAACCAUCAAGUUUCACGGGUGGUUCUAAAACCAUCUAUGAAAGUUCUAGAAAAAGUGUUCAAAAUAUUUUAAUGAAUUUCACAUCCAAGGUAUCAAAGAAAAAGGGAAACACAACACAAAAUAUAAUUCCAUUUUCAUGUAACUAGGGUGAAAUAUAGUCCCUUUCUUUUUCCCUCUUAAAUCCCCAAGUCCAGCGAAAGAGAUAAGGCAGGAUGGAAAUAACCCGAGAUGAAGACAAGGAUACCAUAAGAGCAUUAGAGACCCCGGGUUAGGAGGUUUGGGAGAGAGGAGGGAACGUUCAGCGGCUGCCAGGGAGCAGAGAGCUUGCUGGAAGGCAAGGUGUUGAUAAGUAGCUGCAGGCCGCUCAAGUGUUGAGUUUGAGUUCUUGUCCUAAGCUGUGGGUUAUUGGUUUUAACAGGCAGGAAACAUGGCCCCGUCACAAAGUUCUAGCCGGAAAUAAACUAAUGAAAGAUGUGUGUAGAGAGGCA